GGCAUGGAGGAGAGCAACCAUGGACUACUUCUUCUGUUCCUAAUCCAGGUUUACAGAGCUUCCUGAUCUGUGGAAGGAAAUGACACUCAGAGUCCAGAGGAAGGUUCUGGAAGCUUUGGGUGAGGAGAAGCAGUAACAUCUAACCCAAAGUCUAGUUGCACGGGGUGGCAGGGAGCCACUGUUCCGCCCCCAGGAGACAUACCGGGGUUAUAGGAGUGUUGUUGAACGGUGUUACCUGGAUGAUGACCCUGCAGCUGACCUUUGCCAUAUGGAACCAGUGGCACUGAGCAUCCAUUAACGGUGCCAGUGAGGUGCGCUACAGCCUUAGUCACUGGGAAGGCCUGUAUGGUUCUGGUUGUGUUAGUCAUGUUGGCAAGGCUUGAGGAUGAGCGGUAAUCCCACCAGUGGAGGUUUGGCAGGCAGUAAUUCCAUAGCAGGUUUACAGAGCUUCCUGAACUGUGGAAGGAAAUGAUGCGCAGAUUCUGGGGUAGAUGUACGCUCCCACUAACAGAGACAGCAGGAUGAUGACUUGAAAGAUCCACACAGACAAAAACACCACCAUAAAACCUGA
Ictalurus punctatus (channel catfish) is the source of this 571-nucleotide long non-coding RNA. The record is from Ensembl. NCBI's taxonomy places the organism in Eukaryota, Metazoa, Chordata, Actinopteri, Siluriformes, Ictaluridae.